Long non-coding RNA from Equus caballus (horse), 2885 nucleotides. The record is from Ensembl. NCBI's taxonomy places the organism in Eukaryota, Metazoa, Chordata, Mammalia, Perissodactyla, Equidae.
AAUCCACCACUUCUAGCCGGAGCUGAGCGACUUGGCUUAACUAUGCUCAGUGUCUGUCGCCUCACGGGUAAAAUGCAGAUCCCUGGGUCCCAGGGUGGUAAUGAGGAUGGGGGAUAUAAGCAAGCGGCUGCCAGUAGUUCCUCCAUUACUGGUGUUGGGUCUCGUGGGGCCCACAGCCUCUGCCACCUCCCAGGGUAUAGCAUGGGUCCUCCCUGAUCCUCAGGCUUCUCCUCAGCUCCCACAAAGAGUCGCCCACCCUCAUGGGCUGCACGCUGUUUGGUGAACUCCCAACUAGUGUUCCCAAACCUAAUAAGUGACCCCAAAGGCCACCGAAGAACCACAUUCUCUGAUCACGCAGCCCCAGGCCUUCCUCCCAGCUCAUCAAAGACAGUCUAACCUUUCGCCUCCCACCCCCACCUCCCACUGCUAGCUCAUUAUACUCCCUCCACCCAGGAACAAGGGCAAUUAAAAAGGUGGAAAAUUUAAGUGGGUCAAUAUGACUAUUUUCUAGAAGUUUAGGCAUACAAUUUGGUGAGAAAAGAAACAGAAACCAUGAGCUCACCAAAGGUGGGCAAAGACCGUCUUCUAUGGAGUUGCCAAAACCUAUUUGAAAGAAAAACCUCCCACUGGGGCCUCCUGUAACCAAUUCCAUAAAUACAAAUUUACCAACCUCAGGAAAGACUUUUUUCCUUGUCUGCACAGUAUCUCUUCUCUACUCCGUGAACCUCCAGGGUCCCCUCUCCCAGGGCAACAUCCCUUGCCCUUCACGAAAUAAUUACAUCAAGCUUUCUAAUAGGUUGACAGAUAGCACCAUGUCAUCUCUACCUUUCAGCUUCCCUGCGGAAAUCCUCCUGUUUGAUCUGCAGAUCUGUGUAACGGAGGAGGAGAGAGGGAGGAAAAAAGCGAGAGCGGCUCUAUUCUGAUAUAUACGUACUUUUCCAGGCAUGCCCCCUGCCCUGUUGGGCAUAAUUGCCUGUUUAAUUACCUGUAUUCCCGGUGGCCUGAAAAUUCUGGGAGGACAGGGGCAAUGUUGAUCCUUACAUCCCCACACAUAGAACAGCUACCAGGAAGAGCAAGUCUCUGAUAAAUGUUUGCUGAAGGCCUGAGGAGAAGAGAGAGAGCAGCUGGGGAGAGAGAGUCUUACGUACAUACACCCCUCCUCAUCUCCAAGGGCCAGCUUCUCUCCGUCGAGCAAAUCCCUGGACAUUUUCUCUUGGCCUCAGAGGUCUUUUUAGAGUUCUUGGCCUUUCUUCUUAUGGGGGCCACAUGGAGGACAAGUUGGCAUAGAGUCUGCCACCUGGGGUUGGGGGGCUGGCCGUGCCUCUUCACCCACAUGGAUGUCUCCCACUUGCCCUCCCCUGGGGGCGCCGCAGAGUGAAGAUUGUUCUGUACCAGGCGGAGUCCUGGGUCUUUCACAACCAAUGUCUAUGGAACACGCCACCCCAAACCUGUAGAGGACACAUUCUUUUCAAGUUCACAUGCAUCGUUCCCCAAGACAGGCCAUAUGUUGAACCACGAGAUCACUCUCAAUACAUUUCAAAGGAGCGAAAUCACACAGAACAUGUUCUCUGAGGACGAUGGAAAUAAAUUAGAAGAGUAGAUACGUUCAAAAUCCCAAAUAUCUGAAGAAACUCUCUCAGUGCUUGACACAGUGUAGAUCCUCAACAAUUUCUGCCUCGACAUCCUUCUCUACCACAGUUACGAUCCCUCUGCUGCUGCUGAAAGUAAAGGCCGACCACCGGCCAAGGUUACGGCCACAGUCCCAGGCCUGGCACUUACUGCCCUGUCUGCACAGUGAGCUGGGACAAUGAGUCCACCUCGGAGCCCACCCUGAGUCCCUCAGCAUUCACCAGAUCCACACUGAGGCAGGAAGAUCUCCGCUAUGCUGCCAGAAUGGGGUCCCAGCCCACUCUCCACUCCAAGGAGCCCAGCCUUCUCGAGAUGUGGGGAGAGAGCUCAAUGGGGUGAUGGCUCUUGAUCUUUUUACUUAGAAUGUUCUCUGGCAGAUAAAAUCAAAUUCAUUUUGUUUAGGGAGUUUAGCCGAAACCCCUUGAGGAACAAAUGAAGGCAGCACACAGAAAUGCCUCCUUUCCUCUGCCUGCCAUUUUAGAGGGUCCCCAAGAGGCCAGGAAUACAGUCAACCAGAGAGAAACCCAACCAGCCAAGUCAUACGAGGGAGACGGAGACUGCCAUUGUCACAACCUUUGGACUAAAGAAUGAAGUGGAAACUGAAUUUCACUGAAGGCUGUGCUUGAGCUUUUCAAGGCCAAUAGUCUGAUCCAUGUGUUUGGUUCACAAUAUAAAUGGACAAUUGUGGUGCUGAUAAGUCACCACCCGGAAGAGCCCAAGGGUGGAAGUACCUGUUAUUGGCACAUGCUGUGUGUAAACCUUCUACUGAGACUAAGCUGGUUGCAGCAUCAUUUUCCUUCAAAUCAGGGUAAAGAUCUCCUAGAUAAGAAUGAGUUGGAAAUUAAGACCCAAAUUAAAGCACAUCUAAAGAGGUUGGUACGUGACAAAACCUCCUCAGAAUGCAGUCCAUGGAAGGUUUCCGCCGGGAUCCUGUCAAGAGAGGCGAGUUUUAAAAGGUCUAUGAAUCCUCUAGCUAGGGGAGAAAAGACAAGAGGCAGCAAAGACAGACAGCUAACAAGAAUAGCAUCACCUCCACCUCCACCACCAUUUCUUGGGAGGAGACAUCAUGGAAGCCACUGUUUUCAGUACUUCGGUCAAGCUGAUUCAUUUCUUAAAGUUUCCGGAUUAUGAAUGAAAAUGGUAUCGAUCACCUGGAUGAGGAUCAAAUACAGGGAGAGACAGCGCGACAGUCGAGACUGGCUCUGCAUUUACUUGCAACAAUGCCAACUAGAUUUCCAGCAUUUUAUUGAGACGAG